UAAAAAUACAAAAAAUUAGCCGGGCGUGGUGGCAGGCGCCCGUAAUCCCAGCUAUUCGGGAGGCUGAGAGGCAGGAGAAUCGCUUGAACCCCAGAGACGGAGGUUGCAGUGAGCCAAGAUGGCGCCACUGCACUCCAGCCUGGGCGACAGAGCGAGAGACUCCAGCAGAACGAGACUCCGUCUGCCCCACCCACCCCCCGCAAAAAAAAAAUGUUAGUGAGUGCGACCAGCAGGGCUGCUGUGUCCCACGAGGGUUCUGGCUUCACCAGGGGAUAAGACCAUAGCUUUGGCCAUUAGGCUUAACAUGGCUGCCCCAAUUUUAGCGUCUUGCUCUUGCACCCAGGACCAUGUUUGGCAUGCGAUAAUUUCUCAUUAUCUAUCUUUUGAAAAAAAGUGGAUAAUUCCCAAAGUCAGCUCUUCAGUCAUCUCACCGCUCAGCACCUCACUGCAGUCACGCUGAAGUACAGGUCAUUCCUGAACUGAGAUCUCUGCAUUUGCACUUUCUCUGCUUGGAAAUUUCUAUCCCCGGCUCUGCUCAUGGUUGUCUCUUUCCCUGUCAUUC
This 562-nucleotide long non-coding RNA is filed under the name Homo sapiens (human). RNAcentral's name for it is "HSALNT0205434". Lineage: Eukaryota; Metazoa; Chordata; Mammalia; Primates; Hominidae. The record is from RNAcentral.